This 817-nucleotide ribosomal RNA is filed under the name uncultured bacterium. RNAcentral's name for it is "bacterial SSU rRNA". It matches the Rfam family "Bacterial small subunit ribosomal RNA", at positions 67 to 890 of the family's 1533-position model. The record is from RNAcentral.
CUGCUGAAGGAGGAUUCGUCCAACGGAAGUAGAGGAAAGUGGCGGACGGGUGAGUAACGCGUGAGGAACCUGCCUUGAAGAGGGGGACAACAGUUGGAAACGACUGCUAAUACCGCAUGAAGCAUAGGGGUCGCAUGAUUCUUAUGCCAAAGAUUUAUCGCUUCAAGAUGGCCUCGCGUCUGAUUAGCUAGUUGGCGGGGUAACGGCCCACCAAGGCGACGAUCAGUAGCCGGACUGAGAGGUUGAACGGCCACAUUGGGACUGAGAUACGGCCCAGACUCCUACGGGAGGCAGCAGUGGGGAAUAUUGGGCAAUGGGCGCAAGCCUGACCCAGCAACGCCGCGUGAAGGAAGAAGGCUUUCGGGUUGUAAACUUCUUUUAAGAGGGAAGAGCAGAAGACGGUACCUCUAGAAUAAGCCACGGCUAACUACGUGCCAGCAGCCGCGGUAAUACGUAGGUGGCAAGCGUUGUCCGGAUUUACUGGGUGUAAAGGGCGUGCAGCCGGGUCUGCAAGUCAGAUGUGAAAUCCAUGGGCUCAACCCAUGAACUGCAUUUGAAACUGUAGAUCUUGAGUGUCGGAGGGGCAAUCGGAAUUCCUAGUGUAGCGGUGAAAUGCGUAGAUAUUAGGAGGAACACCAGUGGCGAAGGCGGAUUGCUGGACGAUAACUGACGGUGAGGCGCGAAAGUGUGGGGAGCAAACAGGAUUAGAUACCCUGGUAGUCCACACUGUAAACGAUGAAUACUAGGUGUGCGGGGACUGACCCCCUGCGUGCCGCAGUAAACACAAUAAGUAUUCCACCUGGGGAGUACGAUCGCA